GACGAACGCUGGCGGCGUGCUUAACACAUGCAAGUCGAACGGAAGGGCCCUGCUUGCAGGGUACUCGAGUGGCGAACGGGUGAGUAACACGUGGGUGAUCUGCCCUGCACUUCGGGAUAAGCCUGGGAAACUGGGUCUAAUACCGGAUAGGAGCCAUUUUUAGUGUGAUGGUUGGAAAGUUUUUUCGGUGUAGGAUGAGCUCGCGGCCUAUCAGCUUGUUGGUGGGGUAAUGGCCUACCAAGGCGGCGACGGGUAGCCGGCCUGAGAGGGUGGACGGCCACAUUGGGACUGAGAUACGGCCCAGACUCCUACGGGAGGCAGCAGUGGGGAAUAUUGCACAAUGGGCGCAAGCCUGAUGCAGCGACGCCGCGUGGGGGAUGACGGCCUUCGGGUUGUAAACUCCUUUCGCUAGGGACGAAGCUUUUUGUGACGGUACCUAGAUAAGAAGCACCGGCUAACUACGUG
Molecule: ribosomal RNA, 465 nt
Filed under: uncultured bacterium
Lineage: Bacteria
Description: partial 16S ribosomal RNA
Rfam family: Bacterial small subunit ribosomal RNA
Source: RNAcentral